CACCACGUCAUUGAGGAGGAGGAGGUGCUCCCUCUGCAUCACCACGUCAUUGAGGAGGAGGAGGUGCUCCCUCUGCAUCACCACGUCAUUGAGGAGGAGGUGCUCCCUAUAUAGUGCACUAUUUUAGACCAGAGCCCUAUGGCACCCUAUUCCCUAUAUAGUGCACUAUUUUAGACCAGAGCCCUGUGGGUUCUGAUGAUUCAAAGUAAUGCACUAUAGGUGAGACGAGGUUUUAAUACACUGAUGAGGUAUUAAUACACUGUUUUAAUACACUGAUGAGGUAUUAAUACACUGUUUUAAUACACUGAUGAGGUAUUAAUACACUGACGAGGUUUUAAUACACUGUUUUAAUACACUGUUUUAAUACACUGAUGUUUUAAUACACUGACGAGGUAUUAAUACACUGUUUUAAUACACUGACGAGGUAUUAAUACACUGUUUUAAUACACUGACGAGGUAUUAAUACACUGACGAGGUAUUAAUACACUGUUUUAAUACACUGACGAGGUAUUUGAUGUGGACGGAUACAGACGUUUACCCAGUGCUGGUUACAGUUUGUCUAUAUAGUCUCCAAUGAUGACAUGAUUUUUGUUGUUUUAAUUAUGUCUUGUCUCGGAAACCUGCUUUUCCUGGUAGUUUUCAAAUGAACAGUUAAAUCAUCACAAGAUGUUAUGUUUGUAAUAAUGGUCUUUGGCGUGGAGACGGCCAACUCGUCCAGUUGAUUUCAUUCAUUUAGUCUGUGUUUUGUGAGUUUAACCUUGCAGGAAUGACAAGUGUCAUCAUGUGUUUGACUGGGAGCCGUCAUGAUUUAGCUACCGUUCAUGUGGUUGAAUCUGUGAUGAUUGCUUAGUUUAUAGUUUAUAACAAUUACAUUUUAUUUGUUGAAUCGCGUCCGAGUUUAAUUUGAUGUUUCAUCCUGUGUACAUUUUGUAUGAUUCAAAACCAUAUGGACAGCGGCGUUUCUUCCAUAUUUUGUUGUUGAGAAACUUAAAUACUGUGACUUGACUUCAGGUACCCAGAAUGAUCGAUAACAGCAGUACAAAUGGUAGUUUCACAGGUCUUUUCAAGUGCUGUUAACAUUGACUUACUCUUCAAUCAUGAUUAUGUUUUUCCAAUCACUUCACCGUCAGGACUUCUUUCUAUUUAAAUCUGAACCUGUAGUGCUGACAUCUUUGUCCUGGGGAAUAUGGCAGUCCUGUGUGAGACUUUAAUAACACUGCCAUCCAGUCCGUCAAUACAAUCCUCACAGUCUGUAGCCAUACAUUUUAAUAGACCCAGCCUCGGACUUACACAGUAACAGUAACUUUACUAUAAAACACUGACACAUAUUUACUGUUCUGUUUUAAAUGCUGUUUGACUGUUCACGAUUCCAUGUCAACCAUUACUACACCAGAAGCAAUAAAGUGUAUUUUGAUUUGUUUCUCAGACUCUUCCUGUCAUUUCAUUUUGGGGGUACUUUCACAUUCUACUGGUGUUGUGUACAUCUGUUUGUUGAGAGAAACGCUGAGCUUCAAUCUCUUCUUCGGAGCUCAUUAACUAAUCUCUAAUGUCCUCCAUUUUAUGAAAUGGAUGUUCUGUUCUGAGGUCCAAACCCAUCUUUAAUGCAACGGUUCUGCUAAGUAUGUUAUUAACGUAUGGUCCUCGAAUCACAAAGAUCCAG
This 1660-nucleotide long non-coding RNA is filed under the name Salmo salar (Atlantic salmon). RNAcentral describes it as "lncRNA (ENSSSAG00000099693.1, ENSSSAG00000113695.1)". The record is from RNAcentral. Lineage: Eukaryota; Metazoa; Chordata; Actinopteri; Salmoniformes; Salmonidae.